GACGAACGCUGGCGGCGUGCUUAACACAUGCAAGUCGAACGGAAAGGCCCUGCUUUUGUGGGGUGCUCGAGUGGCGAACGGGUGAGUAACACGUGAGUAACCUGCCCUUGACUUUGGGAUAACUUCAGGAAACUGGGGCUAAUACCGGAUAGGAGCUCCUGCUGCAUGGUGGGGGUUGGAAAGUUUCGGCGGUUGGGGAUGGACUCGCGGCUUAUCAGCUUGUUGGUGGGGUAGUGGCUUACCAAGGCUUUGACGGGUAGCCGGCCUGAGAGGGUGACCGGCCACAUUGGGACUGAGAUACGGCCCAGACUCCUACGGGAGGCAGCAGUGGGGAAUAUUGCACAAUGGGCGGAAGCCCGAUGCAGCAACGCCGCGUGCGGGAUGACGGCCUUCGGGUUGUAAACCGCUUUCGCCUGUGACGAAGCGUGAGUGGCGGUAAUGGGUAAAGAAGCACCGGCUAACUACGUG
Molecule: ribosomal RNA, 468 nt
Filed under: uncultured bacterium
Lineage: Bacteria
Description: partial 16S ribosomal RNA
Rfam family: Bacterial small subunit ribosomal RNA
Source: RNAcentral